AAGAGUUCACAUCGACGGGGAGGUUUGGCACCUCGAUGUCGGCUCAUCGCAUCCUGGGGCUGUAGUCGGUCCCAAGGGUUGGGCUGUUCGCCCAUUAAAGCGGUACGCGAGCUGGGUUCAGAACGUCGUGAGACAGUUCGGUCCCUAUCCGUCGUGGGCGUAGGAAAUUUGAGAGGAGCUGUCCUUAGUACGAGAGGACCGGGAUGGACAUACCUCUGGUGUACCAGUUGUCGUGCCAACGGCAUAGCUGGGUAGCUAUGUGUGGACGGGAUAAGUGCUGAAAGCAUCUAAGCAUGAAGCCCCCCUCAAGAUGAGAUUUCCCAACUUCGGUUAUAAGAUCCCUCAAAGAUGAUGAGGUUAAUAGGUUCGAGGUGGAAGCAUGGUGACAUGUGGAGCUGACGAAUACUAAUCGAUCGAAGACUUAAUCAAAA
This 431-nucleotide ribosomal RNA is filed under the name Staphylococcus aureus. RNAcentral's name for it is "bacterial LSU rRNA". It matches the Rfam family "Bacterial large subunit ribosomal RNA", at positions 2494 to 2925 of the family's 2925-position model. The record is from RNAcentral. Lineage: Bacteria; Bacillati; Bacillota; Bacilli; Caryophanales; Staphylococcaceae.